RNAcentral lists this unclassified non-coding RNA (409 nucleotides) under Hevea brasiliensis (rubber tree). Lineage: Eukaryota; Viridiplantae; Streptophyta; Magnoliopsida; Malpighiales; Euphorbiaceae. The record is from RNAcentral.
AUCAGUAGUAAUUAUUGCAUGCUUUGACGACUGACUCAUCGAUUUCAUUCAAUGUGGGGUUCCGCUGAGAAUCUGUCGGUGCGAUCAACCUCAUUCCGGGAGGAUCGUGAUGAUGAUGAGGAGGCGUUACGGUGGGCUGCGUUGGAACGGUUACCUACCUACACUCGUGUACGUAGAGGAAUUUUCAGGAAUAUUGUUGGUGAAUCAUGGGAGGUCAAUGUUGAUAAUCUUCAACAUGAUGAACGGAAAGUUGUGUUGGAUCGUUUGUUCAAAUCUGUUGAUGAUAAUUGGGAUAACUUGUUUAAUCGCAUUAGGCUUCGUUUCGAUAGAGUUGAUUUGGAAUUCCCAAAAAUUGAAGUAAGGUUUCAGCAUUUAGCUGUUGAAGCUUAUGUGCAACUUGGCAGUCGAG